Molecule: ribosomal RNA, 575 nt
Filed under: Neofusicoccum ribis
Lineage: Eukaryota; Fungi; Ascomycota; Dothideomycetes; Botryosphaeriales; Botryosphaeriaceae
Description: eukaryotic LSU rRNA
Rfam family: 5.8S ribosomal RNA (bases 225-378)
Source: RNAcentral
AAGUCGUAACAAGGUUUCCGUAGGUGAACCUGCGGAAGGAUCAUUACCGAGUUGAUUCGAGCUCCGGCUCGACUCUCCCACCCAAUGUGUACCUACCUCUAUUGCUUUGGCGGGCCGCGGUCCUCCGCACCGGCGCCCUUCGGGGGGCUGGCCAGCGCCCGCCAGAGGACCAUAAAACUCCAGUCAGUGAACUUUGCAGUCUGAGAAACAAGUUAAUAAACUAAAACUUUCAACAACGGAUCUCUUGGUUCUGGCAUCGAUGAAGAACGCAGCGAAAUGCGAUAAGUAAUGUGAAUUGCAGAAUUCAGUGAAUCAUCGAAUCUUUGAACGCACAUUGCGCCCCUUGGUAUUCCGAGGGGCAUGCCUGUUCGAGCGUCAUUUCAACCCUCAAGCUCUGCUUGGUAUUGGGCUCCGUCCUCCACGGACGCGCCUUAAAGACCUCGGCGGUGGCGUCUUGCCUCAAGCGUAGUAGAAAACACCUCGCUUUGGAGCGCACGGCGUCGCCCGCCGGACGAACCUUUGAAUUAUUUCUCAAGGUUGACCUCGGAUCAGGUAGGGAUACCCGCUGAACUUAA